Molecule: long non-coding RNA, 98 nt
Filed under: Fukomys damarensis (Damara mole-rat)
Lineage: Eukaryota; Metazoa; Chordata; Mammalia; Rodentia; Bathyergidae
Description: lncRNA (ENSFDAG00000032087.1)
Source: RNAcentral
GAUCCUGGGUGUUGUAUAUUUCACAGUAGCGACUUCUAGGUUCAUCAACAACUGUUUGGAGGCUCUGAUACUUCUGUCCUAGGUUCUACUAUCAGGAA